GCGUCCUUAGCUCAGCUGGUAGAGCAAAUGACUCUUAAUCAUUAGGUCAGCGGUUCGAGCCCGCUAGGAUGCA
RNAcentral lists this transfer RNA (73 nucleotides) under Ignavibacteria bacterium. RNAcentral's name for it is "tRNA-Lys". It matches the Rfam family "tRNA". From Rfam's summary of the family: Transfer RNA (tRNA) molecules are approximately 80 nucleotides in length. Their secondary structure includes four short double-helical elements and three loops (D, anti-codon, and T loops). The record is from RNAcentral. Lineage: Bacteria; Pseudomonadati; Ignavibacteriota; Ignavibacteria.